UACGUAGGGACCGAGCGUUGUCCGGAAUCAUUGGGCGUAAAGAGCGUGUAGGCGGCCAACUAAGUCCUGCGUGAAAUCUCGGGGCUCAACCCCGAGCGGUCGUGGGAAACUGGUUGGCUAGAGUGCGGGAGAGGAGAGUGGAAUUCCUGGUGUAGCGGUGAAAUGCGCAGAUAUCAGGAAGAACACCCGUGGCGAAGGCGGCUCUCUGGAACGCAACUGACGCUGAGGCGCGAAAGCCAGGGGAGCGAACGGG
RNAcentral lists this ribosomal RNA (253 nucleotides) under uncultured bacterium. RNAcentral's name for it is "partial 16S ribosomal RNA". It matches the Rfam family "Bacterial small subunit ribosomal RNA", at positions 524 to 776 of the family's 1533-position model. The record is from RNAcentral.